GGUGGUGGAGCAAUGCAAGGCUCAGUAGGGUCUGCUGUAAGGAUUGAGUUCAAGGGACUCUGCCAGUUUUGUUGGAUUAGACUGUAGGCUCCCUAUCCCCACUGAAGAAAAAGAAGAGGAGGAAAAUUUGCUGCAGGGUCUACAAAUUGCAGGCUGUCAUUGCAAAGACUAAGGGGGAGUUUGAAGGAGACGCCGGGACUAGCAGUUGUUCCUCACUUUUAAGGAGCUGCGGAGUGCCAUUGACAUCUUCAGCGAAGCAUAAAUCCUUGAAGAACCAGGCCGAGGAAGCUAUAGCCCUGGCAUGCCACCCAGUUCUUAAACAAAAAACGGGAACCAGUGGAGUGAGAAGGGGUGCCCUGUGUCGUUUUCAUUGCAGGAUCAAGGCCCUGAACAGACUUCUGCCUGUGGGCUGCAUCUUUAACCCAUUCAAAAGCUGAAGUUAGUGCAGAAUGUGACUACCUGCUUAUUAAGUGGAGCUUUGCACCAUGACACGUGUCACCAGCGCUCCAGGAUCUGCACUGGCUGCACCUUGGCUUCCAGGAUCACAAAAAUUCACCUCCCUUUGGACACUGAGUUGGAAGGUUCCACACAGCUGUACCAUGUGCCAGUAGCAAUGGAGUCUGGAGAUCCUGGAGAGGAAGAAGAGAAGGACAAGAGGGAGAAAGUUCUGCUCAUUAAUAAGUUUGCAGAAGCUGUCAUGCUGGUCGAUAGUCUCUUCUCUGCUGAAGACAGCAUUAUUGUCUGAUUUAUGUUUUGACUCAUCCCCUUGUCCCGUUUCGUUAAUCGUCUGCUG
Molecule: non-coding RNA, 793 nt
Organism: Caretta caretta (loggerhead turtle)
Lineage: Eukaryota; Metazoa; Chordata; Testudines; Cheloniidae
Source: RefSeq, a predicted model, not a curated record